GAUGAACGCUGGCGGCGUGCUUAACACAUGCAAGUCGAACGAAGCACCUUGAUUCGAUUCUUCGGAUGAAGAUCUUGGUGACUGAGUGGCGGACGGGUGAGUAACGCGUGGGUAACCUGCCUCAUACAGGGGGAUAACAGUUAGAAAUGACUGCUAAUACCGCAUAAGACCACAGCACCGCAUGGUGCAGGGGUAAAAACUCCGGUGGUAUGAGAUGGACCCGCGUCUGAUUAGGUAGUUGGUGGGGUAACGGCCUACCAAGCCGACGAUCAGUAGCCGACCUGAGAGGGUGAGCGGCGACAUUGGGACUGAGACACGGCCCAAACUCCUACGGGAGGCAGCAGUGGGGAAUAUUGCACAAGGGGGGAAACCCUGAUGCAGCGACGCCGCGUGAGCGAUGAAGUAUGGCGGUAUGGAAAGCUCUAUCAGCAGGGAAGAAAAUGACGGUACCUGACUAAGAAGCACCGGCUAAAUACGUG
RNAcentral lists this ribosomal RNA (479 nucleotides) under uncultured bacterium. RNAcentral describes it as "partial 16S ribosomal RNA". It matches the Rfam family "Bacterial small subunit ribosomal RNA", at positions 28 to 507 of the family's 1533-position model. The record is from RNAcentral.